RNAcentral lists this transfer RNA (73 nucleotides) under bacterium. Its description in RNAcentral is "tRNA-Val". It matches the Rfam family "tRNA". From Rfam's summary of the family: Transfer RNA (tRNA) molecules are approximately 80 nucleotides in length. Their secondary structure includes four short double-helical elements and three loops (D, anti-codon, and T loops). RNAcentral also lists the same sequence under 2 other names. The record is from RNAcentral.
GGAGGCAUAGCUCAGCUGGGAGAGCACCUGCAUCACACGCAGGGGGUCGCAGGUUCGAGUCCUGUUGUCUCCA